AUACGGAGGGGGCUAGCGUUGUUCGGAAUUACUGGGCGUAAAGCGCGCGUAGGCGGAUUGGUUAGUUGGGGGUGAAAUCCCAGGGCUCAACCCUGGAACUGCCCUCAAUACUGCCAGUCUAGAGAUCGAGAGAGGUGAGUGGAAUUCCUAGUGUAGAGGUGAAAUUCGUAGAUAUUAGGAAGAACACCAGUGGCGAAGGCGGCUCACUGGCUCGAUACUGACGCUGAGGUACGAAAGCGUGGGUAGCAAACAGGAUUAGAAACCCUAGUAGUCC
This 274-nucleotide ribosomal RNA is filed under the name uncultured bacterium. RNAcentral's name for it is "partial 16S ribosomal RNA". It matches the Rfam family "Bacterial small subunit ribosomal RNA", at positions 523 to 796 of the family's 1533-position model. The record is from RNAcentral.